GGAUAUAGCUCAGUUGUUAGAGUGCCUGCCUUGCAUGCCCAAGGCCCUGGAUUCAAUCCCCAAUACCA
This 68-nucleotide transfer RNA is filed under the name Marmota monax (woodchuck). RNAcentral describes it as "tRNA.Ala". Lineage: Eukaryota; Metazoa; Chordata; Mammalia; Rodentia; Sciuridae. The record is from RNAcentral.